CUGGUCGAGAGCGGGCGCGACAAU
RNAcentral lists this non-coding RNA (24 nucleotides) under Mus musculus (house mouse). The record is from RNAcentral. Lineage: Eukaryota; Metazoa; Chordata; Mammalia; Rodentia; Muridae.